GUCCGCCUAGUUCCAGUCACACGAAAUUACUGGAAAUGUUCGAGUGCUCUGUGCUUGCUGCUGCUGCCUGGAAUGCUUCUCCUCCCUCUUUCCCUCUUCACUUGGCCCCUUUUUUUCCCUUUAAGACAAAUUCAGGCAUCAUUUCCUCCAAAAGCACAUCUUUGAAUGACUUCCUGUAUCGCCCUGAAUAUCCUGCAUUUCUCAUUCUAUAGCUUAAUUGUGUCCUUUUUUAGGGCAGAAACUGUGGCUUAUUCAUCCUUGUCUCACCUAUACCUUGCCCAAUGCCUGCUUCAGAAUAGACUCUGACUUUGAAACUAGACGUAUUUACCUCAAACCAACUCGACACGUUCCCAUGUAGUCUGCUCCCCUGAUGGGGUCCCCAGGGGUAGCAGCUUUAUUAGUCUGUACUGGGGCACCAUAAUGCAGACAAGAAACACUUUGAAAUCUUUAAUGCUCCUGGUGAGAUGAGGAACAGCUCUGUGGCAUUGCCAGCGGCAGAGGAUAUCCAGUCCUUCCACAAAACAUACAACCAAAAACAAGGAAGGAAGAAAAGCCAAAGCCUAGGCAAGCUCACUGACGCCGCUCUCUGGCUGCCUUCCGUGUCCUCCUCUCCAACGGGUGUUCCGGCCCUUUCUCGUGCUGGAGUGGCCAGAUCUACGACUUCAGUUUGAACUUGGGGAGAAGUAGGUGGGAUCUCUGGCUUGCUUUGGCAUGAGACCCAGUUAGUAACAGAGUCCUUCCAGCUUUAAGCUCAGCUCAGUAGACCUCUCUCUG
RNAcentral lists this long non-coding RNA (774 nucleotides) under Equus asinus (donkey). Its description in RNAcentral is "lncRNA (ENSEASG00005029140.1)". The record is from RNAcentral. Lineage: Eukaryota; Metazoa; Chordata; Mammalia; Perissodactyla; Equidae.